This is a non-coding RNA of Peromyscus maniculatus bairdii (prairie deer mouse), 158 nucleotides long. Lineage: Eukaryota; Metazoa; Chordata; Mammalia; Rodentia; Cricetidae. The record is from RefSeq and is a predicted model, not a curated record.
AUAUAUAUAUAUAUAUAUAUAUACAUAUGCAAGAGUUACAUUAACAAUGUCUAGUUCAUUAGCAUUUGACAAAUUCAGAGAAAAUACUCCAUUAUCCACCCUAUCAUGAUGAGCCCAAAGUGUUGUUCCUAACUCACUUUCUAUCCUAACCUGCAUUU